This 253-nucleotide ribosomal RNA is filed under the name uncultured bacterium. RNAcentral's name for it is "partial 16S ribosomal RNA". It matches the Rfam family "Bacterial small subunit ribosomal RNA", at positions 524 to 776 of the family's 1533-position model. The record is from RNAcentral.
UAUGUAGGGGGCAAGCGUUGUUCGGAAUUACUGGGCGUAAAGGGCGCGUAGGCGGCUAGGCAAGUCAGAUGUGAAAGCCCCGGGCUUAACUCGGGAAUUGCAUCUGAAACUGCUGGGCUUGAGUUCUGGAGGGGGUAGUGGAAUUCCCAGUGUAGCGGUGAAAUGCGUAGAUAUUGGGAGGAACACCUGCGGCGAAGGCGGCUACCUGGACAGAAGCUGACGCUGAGGCGCGAAAGCUAGGGGAGCGAACGGG